UACGAAGGGGGCUAGCGUUGUUCGGAAUUACUGGGCGUAAAGCGCGCGCAGGCGGUUUUCCAAGUCAGUGGUGAAAGCCCAGAGCUCAACUCUGGAACUGCCAUUGAAACUGUUAAACUAGAGGACGAGAGAGGUGAGUGGAAUUCCCAGUGUAGAGGUGAAAUUCGUAGAUAUUGGGAAGAACACCGGUGGCGAAGGCGGCUCACUGGCUCGUUUCUGACGCUCAGGCGCGAUAGCGUGGGGAUCAAACAGG
This 253-nucleotide ribosomal RNA is filed under the name uncultured bacterium. RNAcentral's name for it is "partial 16S ribosomal RNA". It matches the Rfam family "Bacterial small subunit ribosomal RNA", at positions 524 to 776 of the family's 1533-position model. The record is from RNAcentral.